UGGGGUGGUAGAGACUAGAGAGUGUUUGAAAACUGAGUGAGGGCAUGCAUGCAUGUUGGUAGAGCCUCUAGUUGAGAGGUUUGUUCACCUUGGCUUGAAUAAUCUGGGUGUUGCAGAUCAUGUGAGUACUUCUUUAAAUGGUUCGGUACUCCCUUCAGUUUAAGGAAAUAAAAAGCCUUGGGGACGUUUUCGCCCAUGUUGUCUUCUACAAUUAUUUGUUUCUUCAUAAUGGUAAAACUUUUUAAAACAUUCAUACUUACUUAUAUGAUCAAUGAAGAUAUGCAUUGCCAUCUU
Molecule: long non-coding RNA, 294 nt
Filed under: Setaria viridis
Lineage: Eukaryota; Viridiplantae; Streptophyta; Magnoliopsida; Poales; Poaceae
Description: long non-coding RNA (SVIR_LNC009945)
Source: RNAcentral